RNAcentral lists this unclassified non-coding RNA (3181 nucleotides) under Bombyx mandarina (wild silkworm). Its description in RNAcentral is "peroxisomal targeting signal 2 receptor, transcript variant X2". Lineage: Eukaryota; Metazoa; Arthropoda; Insecta; Lepidoptera; Bombycidae. The record is from RNAcentral.
CAGAAUCAAAAGGUUAUGUUUCGAUUUGAACUAUUUAAUUUUAUUUAACAUUUAUGAGAGCAAUAAAAGUACUUAUUAGAAUUCGAUAGAAAACCAAUACGAUUGCUAUGAAUAGGGUGAACAAUGUAAAAUAGUAAAACUAUACUCUCAGCAUGCCAACAUUUCUGACGCCUGGUCGUCAUGGAUAUAGCGUCAGGUUCUCUCGGACUCGGCCUGAUGCACUGGCAGUUGCCACCAGCCAGUAUUACGGAUUGGCAGGCGGAGGAACCUUGUUCUUCUUAGAGCUUGCUCCUGAUGGCGGGACCUUGAUCGAAGUUCAGAAAUUAGAGUGGAGCGAUGGACUUUUCGAUGUGACUUGGUCAGGCAGCUCGGACAAUACGGCUGCCUGUGGGGCCGGAGAUGGCACAGUGAUUGUUUGGAGGGUCGGUUGUGCAGCUCCUUUGAGAGUUCUCCGGGCGCAUACCAGUGAAGUGUGUUCCGUUGAUUGGCCCAGAGGCCAUUUGCUGAGCGCCAGUUGGGAUACAACCGUCAAACUUUGGGACCCCGAGUCAGAAACGUGUCUCAGCACGUUCACGGGUCAUUCGCAGCUGGUGUACACGGCGGUGUUCUCUCCCCAUUCGCCGGCCACUUUCGCUUCGGUCUCCGGGGACGGACACCUCAAACUAUGGGCCUGCAGCGAGUCCGUGAGGCCUGCUGCUGUCGUCAAGGCUCACGAUGCUGAGGUGCUGUCGUGCGAUUGGAGCAGUACCGAGACGCACGCGCUCGCGACAGCCGGCUCCGACGGGCUCGUCCGGGGCUGGGACCUCAGGAGACUGACCUCGCCGAUGUUCACAUUAAAAGGGUGCGAGUGUGCUGUGCGGCGGGUGCAGUUCUCGCCGCACUCGCCCUCCGUGCUGGCCGCCGUCUCGUACGACUUCACCACGAGGAUCUGGGACCUGAAGCGCGGCUGCGACCCCCUGGAGACGAUCCGGCACCACUCGGAGUUCACGUACGGGCUGGCGUGGAGCCCGCUGCGCCCGCACCAGCUCGCCGACUGCGGCUGGGACUCGCUCGUGCACGUGUUCACGCCGCGCUCGCUCGCGUGAGGGUCGGUGCCACUUAUAUACAGCACGUGCAGUCGCGGCCUACAGGAUAAGACGUCCGGCAACACCAAGCUUCUGGUGCGAAAACAAAAAUGGCUGUGGAAACGAAGUAUUAGUGUGCCAAAAUGAACCGUAUGUGUGAAGAAACUUGACGUAUCAGGGUCGAAAGUCGCUUGGCGAGCGAGCGGUGCGCGUUUUAUAAAAGCUUUACUAUCUAUAGACGUCACUCUGUUCUCGAAUACACUGGUAUUGUACCUACGCGACUAGGCGUCCCCCACGCGUCCCCCGCGCGCCCCCCACGCGUCCCCCAUGCGUCCCCCUAGCGUCCCCCAGACGUCCCCCAUCCACGGACAAGGGGUGGACCUCUAAGGAGUCCAAAUGUCGUUUAUAGAUAUUAAACUUUGCUACCGAUGUGCGAACAGGGAACUUGCUGACUGAAUGUAUAGAUUGUAUUAAGGAUUAUUGUUUGCCUUUCGAGACAAAUGAGUUUACGGUCCGUCUGAGCGUUGAUCAUGGACAUUGUGAAUGCCAUCGGCGUAGUCAAGACGCUGUCUGCAGCUGAGAAAUUUUCAAACCAAGCUCAAUACCGCUCAGGGGAAAUCCUGGAAUGAGUCCUUCGAGAACUCUGCGACGAUAACAGGCGGUGAGGUGGCAGCAACAGGAGACAGCCCCUUGCCUAUUGUUGAUGUCCAUGAGCUCUCAAUCACAUGGACGGUAAGCUCGUUGGCCAUUGAAGGUAAAAAAAGGAAAAAUUGACAAGAUCAGCUCUUUUUUUUCAGCUUCCUUUUUAAACAAAUUAUUAUUAUUAUCAGUUAUCGAAGUGUAUGCUUUAGUUUUUAAAUGAAAGAAAUUUUCUUCUAAAAUAGUGUUAAUAAAUUUUAAUUUUUACGAUAUAUUUUAAAAUGUUCCAUUUAUAGUUCUAUAUUGAAUGUGUACAUAUGUAAAAUGCUUCAUAACGUUAUUGAUGUGACGUGUAUCAUUUAUGUUUAAAAAAUAUAUUCUUAUUCGCAAAGAUCUUUUGUGUAUGAAAAAAAAUCCGUUAUUAUUUUCGUAAAUUGUAAACAAUCUAAAUGUAUAUUUGAAGUCAGUUGUAACGUAAGACAUAUUGAUGAGAGGAGUGAAGUUCUGUGAAUUGAAACUGCCCAAACGUGAGGAAAUACAACAAAGCCGCUGGAUUUGACAUCUAGGUUUCUUCCAAAACGUCCACAGACAAAAUAACCACAAUUUUACUGAUACUUUAUCUCGUUCCAUCCCAUGUCGAUUGAUUUAAUUUCAUUCUGAUUGAUUAAGUUCUCAUAUUAAACAUCUUCAUCUCAUUUUGCUUCAUGUCAAUUUUAUAUACGAGACCGUCCGUGCAAAAGCGGCCUAACCCACAAUUUUUCAUAUUCGCGCUUAUAUAUUGCAAUUAAUUUAAAACAUAAUAAAUGUCGAUGCAAAACCGGCCUAUCCAUAGUCUCACCUAUAGAGAACAGAUGGCUUUAUAAACAUAAUUUUUGCGCGUAUUGUUUUUGCCUACGAAGCAGUCUAAAAGUAAAUUCCAACCUCAUUAUCUCUAUGCUAACUAUGAUAAGCUUAGGACACUUUUGCGCUGACUGCCUCAUAUGAGAAUAUAAGAAGAAAUAACACUUGGCGUAAAGGUCACGUUACCAGGGCAUAAAAAAAAACUAAUAGUAAAUUCCUUUCUAAAUUAAAAAAAAUCUCGAUUAUGUUUGAGAAAGCCUUUGAUUACUACAAAAUUAAUUUAUUGAAUGUAAAAAAAUACUUCUGCACACAGAAAUGUCGGCUUGCGCAUAGAAAUGUCGAAUUACUGUAAAUAUUUCAUCUCAUUUGUAGUUUUCAAUGCAAGUCUUACUUUACUAAGACGAAUCGUGUGUAUUAUGAGUAAAAAUAACUAUUUUCAGUUGAAUGUUGAUAUAUUAUUAAUAAAAGGAAUUAUUUGUAAUUUAAUUACAAUAUGCAUUUAUUUUACUGCGGUAUUGUCAAAUCUAAGGGCUCUAUCUAAGGUGCCUAGUUUCACAAGAUAAAUAUGAAUUGAAUCUUUAUUGAUUUUAUCGCACAAACAUGGAUUACUUGUUUUUUAAAUCAAAAUAUAAAAUAUA